GUGCUUACUUUAGCAGCACAUAUGGUAAAAUUGUAAUGAUAUAGAGAUGAUUAGCAUGGGCCCUGCACAAGGAUAACACAUGAAUUUGUGAAGCAUUCCAAAUUGUU
Molecule: small nuclear RNA, 107 nt
Organism: Choloepus hoffmanni (Hoffmann's two-fingered sloth)
Lineage: Eukaryota; Metazoa; Chordata; Mammalia; Pilosa; Megalonychidae
Source: Ensembl